AAUUUGAAUGCCCGCCCAUUGAUUUUGCAUUCCACAUCGUUGAAAUCAAUGGGAUUUGCCGAUAAUUUACCGAUAAUCGUUGUAAAUAUUACCCAUAUCGUUAAAUACGAAAAGAAGUUGCAAAUGAGUUGCAAAUCGAGUGGUUUG
Long non-coding RNA from Bradysia coprophila, 147 nucleotides. The record is from RefSeq and is a predicted model, not a curated record. NCBI's taxonomy places the organism in Eukaryota, Metazoa, Arthropoda, Insecta, Diptera, Sciaridae.